AUUCGAUGAUGUUCCUACCAUUGUGUGCGUUUUCCCCGAGCCUGUCGCACCGUAGGCGAACACGGUGGCGUUGUAGCCGUUCAGGACGUCCUGCGCCAAGGUCUUCGCGGUACCUUCGUAAACCUUCUCCUGAAGUGUUGAGGAAUAUAAACUGUCAUGUUAUGGUAUUCGAAGUGACUUGCCUGGGUGGAAUCUUCGCCGAAGAUUAUGUCGUAGAGGUAUUGCCGUGGCACUGCGCGCUUCUGCUUGUCGCUGUCCUGGUCUUCCAACAUCACCAUCUGUCAAUCAUUAGCGUCGUCAGCGGAAUUAUCCUUGUACACCUAAUAGUUAAUCUAAGUGGAUGCCAAGUCCAAUUAGCGAGCUCACCUUGUCGUUGACAGCGUGCAAGGACCUGGUGCCGCUCUCAGUGGGCGCCAAUGGUCGAAUACGCACAGCGACCUGACCAAAACAAGAGUGUAAACAAUAUGACAAUUUAUCUCGAGUCUACAAGUAGUCUCAAGUGACAUCAACAAGGAGUCUUCAGUUUUGUUAUUUUUAUUUAUCGGUUUGCAGUCGAAACGACUGUCGGGCGCGAUGACCCGCGAUUGAUUGGCUUUUCGUCGAAUUCCACGAAUGUGUAUGAUCACCGAGAGAUCGUCACCUGCGUACACCGGCACGAUAUGGAUCCCAGACGCGACGCUCGGAACACUUUACUCGGCACUUAUGUCGUCGUAAAAGAAGCUAAAAAAAGGUAACGCCGCUCUCGCGUGUCUUGUCGCAUUGUCCACCGCGCAUAAAAAAUUUCAGAGCUUCGAAAUCGAAUGGGCGAACGUGGCUUUUCUCACUCGUGUUAUCGAUUCGCUUUGCUCGUUCGGAGCCUGAUCCGGCCUGAUUGAACUUUACAAAGCUCAGGAUUUCUUAAUUUUUAAGCGACUUUUGACUUGCAAGGAACAUCCGCGAAGUGUGUGUCUCCGAUUUCGACGAAACUUGCAUAUUUGUAGAGUAACCAAAAAUAAGAGAUCCAUAUUUUUUUGAUCGGCAGGUUUAAAGGGUAAAACUGCCCCUCAGAGUUUCAUCCCCAUUAUGCUAUCUCGAUAAUUAUUGUAGAUAGGAAAAAUCUUUUUGAGCAAAAAUUGUACGGGUUUUUUAUUUAUUCAAAUUCUUCAUUUUCUCUUUUUGCCACGUAUGCCUGCUUGUUCGCUCUGCUUAAAAAUCUGACAAGUGUCAUAAAUAUACAUAUAUACCAUGAGUUUCUCCUCCAGUACUCGAGCUCCGCGAUCCUUAAAGUCAUUUCGGCAGGUGCUACUGUUACUGCUGCUGCUACCGCUGCUGUAUUGGGUCAUUCUUGUGUCACGAUAAUUCUAUGCGCCGUCGUAAAGUGCAAUGUAAGUUUAAGAUCAAGUGGUGCUGAAUGACUGAUGUCGACAAGAUGCUCGACACACGAACGUACCGAUCCACUGAAACACCGCGUUUA
Molecule: long non-coding RNA, 1453 nt
Organism: Harpegnathos saltator (Jerdon's jumping ant)
Lineage: Eukaryota; Metazoa; Arthropoda; Insecta; Hymenoptera; Formicidae
Exons: 2
Source: RefSeq, a predicted model, not a curated record